ACCAACUUCUUGAAUAAAUGAAAGGCACUGCUCCAGAUUUUUUGUUUUUUAAUGAUCUUUAUAUAAUGCCCAGGGUUCCUCCUUUAUUGUAAGAAAAUGUGUACAUAAUUACUUCAAACAUUCAUGUGCUAGAAAAACAUUUUCUCUGACCCAAUACAACUUCCAUGUUCCAACUCAAUCCCCUGCUCACCCCUGCAUGUGUAGCAGAAUACACUGUCCUAGCUCUGCAGAGAACAAAGCAACAUGAGUAUCAUGGUAUAAAUACUGUUUAAGAAUCAGCCUGAGGUCAAGAGUCAUGUCCCCUUUCUUCUCUCCACUGCUGAUACCUUCAUUUUAAGACUACAGAGCCUGCAGAUGGGGUCUGCUAGCCACAGUUCGGAUCUUAAAUGUCCCCCAAAGGCCCCAAGACCUUGAUCCACUCCUGUGGGUGGUCUUGGGAAGUGGCCCAGCUUAUGAGAGAUUGAGGGCUUGUGGAAGAAAGUUAGGUCAUUGGAGUCAUGCAAUUAAAGGGGAUAUUGGGACCCCAGACACUAUUCUUCCUUUCUUUCCUUCCUGGGGGCCAUGAGGUGAGCAGCUUUGUUCCACCACACACUCACCUCCAGGAUGCUCUGCUUCGCUACAGACCCCAAAGCAGUGGGGCCAACCAGCCAUGGACGGAAACUCCCAAACAGUGAGCCAAAAUUGACCUUUAUUCUUUUUGAGUUGAUUAUUUCUUGUAUUUUGUCACUCAAAUGGAAACCUGACUGACACAAUGUCUCCAGAGGAUAGGACAGGGAGCAGAGCAUGUGCCAAUGACGUGCUGAGGUAACUGAGAAGAACAAAAUACUCAUUGAGAGGGUGACGAAGAAUGUGUUCUUAUCCUGAUCCUACAGUUUUAUAAGCACUAAAAGAUCUUGAUUCUGGUGGGUACAGAAAUUUGUAUUUUGAAAUAAAUUAACAGAUGGUUUUGCUGCUCCUUCAGGGUUAAGAUUAACUGCUCUGGGUAAUGUAGAAUGAGAAGGAUAUACUGUGCAAUGUAAUUGAUUUAGGCUCUUUCUUUUCUCUUUUUUUGAAAAAACAUUUCAUAGGACUUGUGCCCCAUGAAACAUCUUUGAAGAAAUACAGACCGUUUCCGAAUAUAUAGCAUUCCCUUGGGCAAAGGAACAGGAAGGGCAUGUUAGCUGAGAUAAACCAUGGUAACGAAUACCUUUGAUUUGGUGGUCAAGAUUCCCGACUUCUCACCAGUCAGGUCAGAGCAGCUGUCGGAAAAAACUUGAUGUCUAUCCAAGAUUUCAGACCCACCCUUAAUGGAGGAGCACCUUAUCAGGGUAUUUCUGGCAAACUGGGUAGAUUGAAAAAAACAUAAGUGAGACUCUAUUUCAGUGCUUUAACACAACAAAGGUUUGUCUCUUUCUCAUGCAAAGCCUCCUGGGGUCAGGCCUUCACUCAGCAAUUGAAGUUGCUUCCAUUCCUGGAUGGAGAUGUACACCAUCUCAGCAUAGGGCUCCUGCAGGGGAGAAGGGAUGGAUGAAGUGUCCCAUUUAUUAGGACCUCAAAGCCAAAGUGAUGCGCAUUCUCACAGCUCAAACUCAUUCCAAGACUCCAGCCCAACUGCAAAGAAACUGGGGAGAUGAGGGCAAGCCGAUGGAAGUUUAGGGAGCAACCAUCAUUGCUACCAAGUUUCCUCAGACCUGCACUUAGCAGGCACCAUUUCAGGAAACUUGACUCGUUGACUAGUGAUGAGGAAGAGCAGGCUUGGAAAUGCUCCCUAACUUACAACAGUGUCACAUCCUGAUAAACUUAGGAUCAAAACUGCAUUUACACCCAGCUUAGCCAACACAGCAGCUCAGCCACCUAGUACACUGUAGAGGUUGGUUCUUCACCUGGUGCCAAGGACCUGUGACUCCCUGCGGCUACCUAGCACCACCGGAGAGGAUAGCACUGCAUAUUGCUUAGGAAAAGAUCAACGCACACAAUUCCAAGUGUGUUUUACGCUGAAUGCAUAUCACUUCUGCACUGUCAUAAAGUGGCAAAUGGAACUUAUACCACUGUCAGUGGGGGACCAUCCGAUUGGAUCCGCAUCGUCCCAGCUCAGGCAGCACAGAAGUGAAAAUACACAGGAGCCCAAUGGUAAUUCUGUAAUUGGAUGGUGUGUAGGAAAACAGAGGCAAAAAAGAAAGGUGAAGAGGGAGAGGAAGAAGAGAGGGAGGAGGAGGAGGAGAAGAAUGAGACACAAAGAGGAAGAAGAGGGAGGAAAGAAAGGCGCGCACACAUGGAGACAACUGGGUCAUUUAGUUCAACUCCAACUUUGCUAUUAUUCUUUUUCCCCUUCAUCUGGCCAGACUGGUGUCUGUUCACAGGAAAUGGAAAGGUAAGUAAGGGUGGCACUGUGACCAAGUGGUCUAAACUUUCCGCACCCCAGGCCAUGAAGGACACACCCAGACUGAGGCCAGCUUGGAGGAAUGACCACCUCAGAAGGUUCUCCGCUUCCCCUUCUCUGGCUGCCUGGCUAGCUUGCUCUAACUUAUUCGGCAAGCUCUGGCAGUUUACUGAUGUUAUUAUCAUUAUUGUUAUUAUUAAUUAUUAUUUAAAAUGCUGGUCAAGACCAGGAGCUCCUAAGAGGCCCUCACCACACCCGCUCCACUCUUGGAGGAGACUCGUUCUUUCUUUCCAAUCUGCUCACUCAGUCCUGAAUAACUUUUCAGAGGGCUCCAGAUACCGCAGUCUGACAGCUACACCAAGGCACUCCGGAUGCGAUGGAAUUGCUCUACGAGCAACCUUGCCAAAGGCCCUUUUCCAUGCACAAAGCUGGCUCUAUCUUUGUAUAUUGAGGGAGCUAAAUCAAUGUUAAAUGCUUGGCUCUUUUCACAGGACAAUGACCAGGACCUAAGCUGCGUCCUUCCUUUUUGAUUGACACUUGAAACACAGCGCGGGAAUCAGCCAGAGGCACUGCUACAAGCCGAAGCCUCUGCUGGGAUAACCACUGGUGACAUCUGCAGAAAGGCCGACAAAAGGCAGUUGAAAGCCGUGUUUGUUGCUUCCCCCCUCAGAUCUCCACGCUUUCAUGGAGCUCCUUACUUGCUUUAAUAUUAUGAUUCAGCACCUGGCUUUUUUGAACCUUGCUUUAAACUUCAAAAGGCGAGAUGGUAUUAACAAACAUGAAACGAAAAAGUGGCGGUAGUUUGAUUUACUGUUGUCGUCUUAUCAAGGGGUUUUUUUGUCACCAGCUGCCACUUUCUGUCAUCUUUGGAACCAUUAUCAUUUCUCUAAAAUCUAAAAGAGUCCACUUAAUAACAGCUUUGAAUACAGGCAGGAUCAGUAACAUACACAGUUCUGGGGCUGACAGGACCAUCAAAUGGAAAAAAAGAUGUUGCCAAAAAAACGAAAAAAACCCCACACAAAUAAGAGCUUUAGUACUUCCUAGUGACCUUGAUUUCAGAAUUAAACAAAUCAAAUCCAAUUCUAUUGUUCCUUUUCAGUUCCAUUUUAGAGUUUCCUUGAGAAGUUCCUUUUUGUUGUUAGACUAGCAGGGAGGAUAAAAAAAAUCUCAAGGCUUUUGGACAAGUUGGAAAAGGAAGCUCCUGCUAUCAUGGGAUGUCGGAAGUGACCUCUGCUAGUGCCAUGGCUCCAUUAAUUACCAGCUCACUUGCACUGAUUUUCUCAUGCUUGGAGCACCCACUUGAUCCUGAUAGCCAGACAAUCACCAACUCUCUCCAAGGAAGAGCUAGCUUGGUUUCUGCUCCUUCCCAAGGACUGGCAGCUCUGAGCUUUCUAACCAAACCCACUGGGCCUCAGGGAAACUUCUCAUUGUAGAUGUUGGAGCCAGUUUCACCAGAGGAGGUGCACUGGUUAAUCCUGCAAUCUGCUAGGAACCUCAGAUCUCUUGGGAACAUGAAGUUCGUCACAGCUGCAAGCAUCCCUUAGGGACCACCUAGUCUAGUGAUUUUGAUUUUCCCAAGGACCUUGGUAAAAACAUCAAUCCCCCUCCAUGAGCUCCUACCCACAUCUUCUGAAUCCACCACUCAGAAGACGUGCUGUAGAUACUUGUAUUUGUAAAAGUUCUCCUAUGUGUCUGAAUUACAAAGAGUUUCGAGAUCAACCUUUACAGAAGGCAUGACAUGAACAUGAAAUUCUGUCACAGCACAGUCAUGGGAGCCCUUCUGAGUCGGCCUCAGAAGACACAGCACUGUCUCCUGCCUUGCCACCCACGGGCUGGCUGUCCUUGGACUCAGCCUUGCAGCCUUUCUGGAAUGAGGUUUCUUCUUUUGCAAAAUGGAAAUAAGAAAGGCUUAUCUACUAACCUGAAAGGGGUGUUCGGAAGACAGCGAGGAGAAAAUAUAUAUGAAACACCUUAUUCAGCUGUGUAUUUUAAAGCACCUGUAGAUGGGUGACCAGAGUUAGCCCAGCCUUUUCGUGCAUGGCCCCACCUCCCUGGCGUGACUUGGGAAAGAGCAUUCUUCAUUGCUUCUGAGGCCCCUGCUGCCCCUCGAGCCUUGCUCCUUAGUGAUUAGAAUUCUCGUUAGAACUUGAGAUUCACUUUGUUGGGUGACCAAAUGAUGAUCUCCAGGCAUCCUUCAACUAGAGUUAGCAUCUUGUAACAAGUAUGGCACUCAGCUAAGCAACAAGGCUGGAGAGCCCAGGAUGAAGGGGGAGAUUUGGUGAAGAGGAAAAAGAGUGAAAUUUCAUUUAGUGUGAGGUAAGACUGAGACUGACCAGGGCUCCAGUCCUGACACCCACUUUGCUCUCUGGGUCUCAGGGGCGAGUUACUCCCCUGUAUUGGCUUGAGCUUGCGCCACUGUUUACUUACUCAUUCACAAGGGCUACUAACAUCUACUCUGUGGUCAGCCCUUUUUGAGUUAGUAAAACAGUUAAAUCCCUAACUGUAUGAAGUUUGCAUUUUAUCAGGGAAGACAGAAUAUAGCAGAGAAACAAAGUGGAGCACAUACCUAGGAAAAAUACUGAAAGGCAUCAUAUAAAUAACUACUGGAGGACAAAAAGAGAGUGAGAAGGAGAGCAAACUCUUUGAGGGGGCCGUUUUGGUUGAAUCUUGAGUGGAGAGAUGCUGUAACCCGAGGGAGAGUCUUGCCAAAGAGAAUUCAAAGGAGAAGGACUAUCAAUGCGAAUUCUUCCUCAACUUUAGGAAAUAAAAAUGGAGUUCAGAUGAAUGAGUUCUAUUUAAGACAGACUUUACAGGCCAGGGUGACAGUCUCGCUGCUGGAUUGGAUGUGGGGGACUAGAGAAAGAGAGGAGUCACAGAUGACUCUGGGGGUCCAUUUGAGAGUAAGGUCCAUGAAGAAUACAGGAUUUAUUUGGGGGCGACAAGAAUUUUGCCUUAACAUAAUACAUGUGCAAAAUGUAACGAGUAGCAAACCUGACAAAUGGAGAGAAGAGCGGCAUGCCAUGCUGAUGAGAUCGUGCCGAGAAAGCUCAGUGCAGAGUCAGAGAUGGAACUCCACAAACUGUACCUCUAUGGGAAAUGAGUAGAAAUGUAGGGAUGGGAUGGUUCUUGACCAAGUAAGAAACUAGACAGUGACGAGGGAGUGGAGCCAGAAUGCCAGGAGAAGGAACCAACGUGACUCAAGAGAAGCAGGAGAGGACUGAACACAUGGCUUGAGUGCUUUACCUUUCUGUGCUUGGUCCCCAUUGUGUGGAGCAAUGAGAACGGAGGAACUAUUUACAAGGGGCCACCAGACGGAAUGUUUCAUUCUGUUAAAGCUGGGCUUUAUUUUCUUCUACAGUGACUAGGUUAGCUGCACAUUAGGGGUCAUGAUGUAGAAAUGCUGGUCUUGGUCCAGGAUGUUGAAAUGAUCUACAGUGGCCGUAAGACCUUCCUUCACUUGAGGCUCAAGACUGGGGAAUGUGAUUUUUCUAAGCAGUGACAAAAUGAAUACUAUUAAAACACACAUGGGGUUUGGUCCUUGGUAGCAUAGUAAUCUGUGCCAAAGGUUUUAUUUAUCAACUUGGUGAAAAAACUGAGCAUAUUAGAGGAUAGUGCUUGUCAUCUACUUCAAUGAGUAUCAAAGGCUGCUGAACUCAGUCUACCAGAAAGAUCUUCUAAACUUGACCUAUCAUGCAUCUCUUCUAAGUUUGAAAACAGCAAAGCAACCCAAAACCCAAGCUGCAGAAAUUCCAUUCCUCUUCCAACUCCAUCCCCACGUUCCCAUGCACACAUUUAUCAGCUCCAUGCAGCACUGUGAUGGAAACGAAGGCUACAGGAAACCUCCCAGUUGAUCAUGCCAAAUGGUAACAACUCCUCAGGAGAGGGCAGUUCUGGUCACUUAUCUGAUGCCACACAGAUGGGCCAAGGUCCAGACUCUACCUUCACAUUCCUGGGCAUGGCUCCCAAACAAACCUGCUAUGGAACCACCUGAGUUUGGGGAUGUAGGGACUUUGGCCUCAACUGGGCAGUGCAGGUGCAUGGAUUUGGAAUGUGGGGUGGUCCUGUAGCCUCUAAGCUUACCAAUCUCCGUGCAAGAUAGAAAAGUUAAUUCCUCGGUCAUACAUGCACAUGUAGGUGCUAAAACCUUCUGCUUCUCAAACAACAUUUGGAGGUGGAGGAAGCAGAGGAGCUCAGCUCAUUUUUACAGGAGACCAGGAGCUUGAGACUUGGCCGGGGUCCUUUGGGACGGUCAGUUGGCCCUUAAUAUAGACUCAAUGAAAGGAGCUAUGGGAAAUGAGGUAAAACAAUGACCAAGUGUGCAAUUCACUAAAACUAAUUUACUUGGGAAACCAAAGGCUUCAGUGUUGUCAGUAGGGAUUGUGAAUUUUUUCCUUCAGCUGCACUCCAAUUAUUAAUUACAUCUUUCUUCCCUUCUAGAUGUAAGAGCCUGAAAGGGCAGGGACUACGUCUAUGUUGCUCUUUCACCCUAUUUCUAGCAUCUAGGAAAGGCCUUGGCACAUUCUUAUUUGAUAUGAAAUAUUUGUUAAAUCAUUGAAACUGUGCUGCUAAAUAGCCUCUGAGAGAGGUUAAUGCUACAGAAUUCUAGAGAAGUAGCCUGAGCUGUCCCAUGAACUGCCAUGUGGAACCAAAGACUACAUGUGACUGGUGUAACACUUGUAACUCAGGUCACAUUUCUUGACUAGUAACCAUGUCACCAUAGGAGCACAGACUCCAUGUGUCUGUUGAGACAAAUGUGUUUGGUCACAGUGUUACAGAAGCUACUGUAAACCAUUCUGAGCCAGGUGACGGAAUGAAACUUCAUCCUUUCCAAUGAUAAGGGAUUCUCUUGAGUGUAUUUGGUAGUGAGAUGUGACCAAUUGCUCGUUAAAUCUUAUUUAUAUCUAUUAGGACAGUGACAAAAAAUGAGAAAAGGAUUCAUGACACUGUCACAAAUCUGCCAAAUGCCAUCCAUACUGUUGUCUGCUGCACAUUUUUAAAUGCAUCAAAUUUUUAGAAGGGCUUUUGUCACCUGAACUAUUAAAUAUGUUGUAUUCAAGCCCAGAAAAUAUUUCCCCUUAUUAACAGCUCCCCGUGAUAUACAAUGAAAGAGAACUUGAUGGUAUGAAUAAUCUAAAACACAAUGACUCUGAAGGCCAGGAAUGGGCUCCUUCUUCAGGUAAGCAGCUUAGUUUCUUUUCCUUGUGAUUCAAAGCAGAUUAGAGGAGGAAGCUUUAGGGGAAAGAAUGAAUUGACCCAGCAUUCCAGAAUUGCCAGAGAUAACUUCUAUAACAACAAACUCACAUGUGGCUAAUACAUGGAGUUGGGGUAGAGAUGGAGGUGGUUACAAACUACAUUCCACAUUGGUUUUACCUGAUUCCUAUUCAACUUCAAUGCCUGAUUCCAAAUAUUCACUGUUGCUUUUACUCUGUUCCAUGGUGAUUCGACCAGUUGAGUGAUUCUUGCCCUGAAAGAGUCUUAUGACCAAUGGUAUUUGUGACUUUCUCUUCAUCAUCCUUUUUGAACAGCACCUAAGGAGAUAGAGUGAAGGCAUGAUAGACAAGACCUAAACCUUGUCCUAAUUGCACCCAGAAAAAGGAGUAUGGUGUUUUGAAGUACAGGUAUUUUGUACGAUGUGAAAUGCUAAAUUUAAGAGUUAUCAAUAUCACCCCAGGCAAAAAGCAGAAGGAAGUACAUAUAAAUCUUUCAAGAGACAGAAGGAGAGACACACACAGAGAAAAAAAGCAUUUUGCCAUAAUGUCCCCUAUCCUGGGUUCAACACAAUGAAACACAAAGGCCCUGCCAUCGGGAGAGCAGAGCAGCUGUGAAGAUUGGCCUGUGAGUCACCGGUACUGAAGUGGAAAUGUCUGUUCAAGUUCAAAGGCAGCAAAGACCUUGGCCAACAUGUGCCCUGGUGAACGCCAAGACAUGGGAUGGCAUCACUGUAAACCAGCAAACCCAAGAAGGUUGGCUAUUUGGAGGAGGGAAGCUAUGGGGACAAACAGAGCUACAUUCCUUCUUUUAAAUAAUGUCUUCAUCCAGGAGUGUAUAUGACCUCAUGGCCUGUGAUGAUGUAUCUGUCUAAUUUAACAAAUUGUGACCUCUCCAGAGAGAGACUGUGGCUUAGGUGAUAAUUGUAAGGUGAUGAAACAUCUUAUAAAUGUGCCCAUUGGCUAUUUGCGCAAAUUCUGAAAGCAGACUAAAAAAACUAGGACUCUUAAGUUGGAAAAGUCAAGAACAUGGAGUACCAUGGAAACAAAUCUACCGGAAUAUAAGGAUCCAAGUAAGAUAAUGUCACACCUGUCCAGAUUCCCAGGAACACAUGGCCCAUUGUCCUUCACGGAAGCAUGAAGCAGCUUCUGGAGGAUGAAUAAUAGGAAAAGACUAAAUAAAAGCCAGAACUUGAAAAUACCGAGAUAGAAAAAAUGUUUGAAAAUUCUUAUGGAGUUUCUUUAACAGAGAAGUUAGGGAGCCUGACUUCUAAGUGCAGGACCCCAGGCAGAAAAGUGUUGUACUCUACACUAACAAACACAUUAUAUCCCUGGCACCAACAGUCACUUCGAUGAUUUGCUGUAUAAACAAGCUAACAGACCUGUACACGUAGGCCACUGUGCUAGGUACUACUUCUAAAGCACCAUUAUUCUAUUCCAGUCAGAGAAGUUUCUUAUGUUCCUAUGUGAAUUCCACGAAGAGGCUGACCCACUCAGUGGUGAGGAAAUAAAGAUGUGAAAGAAGCAAAAUUGGAGGUAAGAAGAAGAAAGAGGGUGAUCCCAGCUGUCCUAAUCUACCUGGAAAUGGCAGCAUUAUCAUAAGUUUGCAUAGUAUCUCGCUUUUACAAAUUACUUGACAGUUAUAAUCUUCCUUUAGCUUCCUAACACCCCAAUAAGAUUAAAGGCAUAUAAUUAAUCCCACCACACAGGUGAAGAAUCAGACCAAGCCCAAGGUCACCUAGUGAAUGAGUGGUCAAGUCAGGUCUACUUUCCAUGUGAUUGUUGUUGGUGUUACCUCCUGGAUUCUGCUGGCUUUAAUCCUUCCCUGUACACAGAUCCAAGAUGGUGCUGUAGUGGAAUAACUCUGUACGUAGUAUGCUGUGUCCCAGUGAAGUAUGGUGCCAUUUGGAUGAAUCGAUGAGCUGCACUGAAGCUGUUAGGAACAGUUGAGAGAUCACAGACAAGAUCACCUGUUUUGGCCACUAACUCUUCAAUUCCCCAAUACUGUGCCCGGGCCCUCCCACCCUUUCCUCCUGCUCUACAGCCCAUGGUGCAUCUCAAAGAACAUUCACACCUACAAAAGAAUCACAGAGCUGUAUGAAGAAGGCUCGGGCAAGUCCAGAACUCCAGGGUAUGUGGCCGUUUUGAACAGGCACUUUUGAUAGUCUCUCCAGUUUAAUUGGAAGAGUGAGAUUUAGAAGCAAGCAAAGUCGGUGGAACAUAGCACUGGAACUCAAAAUGAGUAUGGACCUUCUCUCUAUUUCUUCUCUUCCUGUAGGUCACUGUCACCUGGUGUACAGGCAGGCCAGCUCUCAUCUCAGCUGGCCAGCUCUACCCUAAGUCUGAGUAAGUCUGACAAAAACCACAGUGAAUGCUUCAAAUGGAAGUUUACCUUUCCCAAACUCUCCUUCCUUUUAAAUCGAGACAUUUGUUUAAAUCCCAUCCUUCCUUCAAUUGGAUAGAGACUCUGUGGGCUCUUACCCAGUUUCUAAGAAAGACACAAUACUCUGGACUUAUAGAUCAUGGAAUUUUCUCACAAUUACAUGGGUGGCAUAAUACAGAACUAAAAAUGAAUAUAAAUACUGUAACACAGUACUGGAUAAGGGUAAAGAAACCACAUUCAGAUUAAUAUUGGAAAGCAGUACUUUCGAUUUAUAGAUAACCUGAAAGGGUAAAUUUUUCACAGUAUUUCAGAGGUUCACUUGAGAGUGACUUACUCAAGGAAACCUCUCUUCAGCCUCCUUCUACCCAGAGGCCUUCUGCUGUCGGCCAUCUUGGGUACUCUCAAUGUUAUGUGUCCUGGACAGACACCCCUUUUGUCUGACCAGGCAGCCAUCUUAUCAUGAGACUCUUGGUGGACUUAGUUAUCAUGUUAUAGAUGAGCAAAAAUAGGAAAGGCCAGAGCCUACAGAUGAACAAAGAUUACUGUUUUCUUCAGAAAGCAGCUGGGAUAAAUCCAAGCUCUCCAUUCUCCAUAUGAUCUCUCUCUCUCUCUCUCUCUCUCUCUCUCUCUCUCUCUUUCUCUCUCUCUCUCCCCUUCUCUCCUUCUCUCUCUCUCUCCUCCAGACAAACCAAUUCCCAGUCUCUUCACUCAGAAUUACAGGUUCAGUCGUGGGACUGGUGAGCCUUUUUGAGUGGUUUGUCCAAGGUAGUAAUUUUGUAAUCCACUCUAGAUGAAGUAAGUACAGACCUGGGCUUGCCCCAGCCUCUUUCUCCUCCUUCCAUCCAGAACCAGGUCCCCACUUAGUUGAAAACGCUUUGCAUAUAAACAAACUCCUCUCAAAGACAACUCAACCUUGACAUUUCUUUCUCCUUUUCCAAACUUGCUUCCUUUUAAAACACCUCCCUUGCCUGCCAUGCUCUCACAUGAGGCCCAAUUAUCAGAAUAAUAAUUAACAGGCUCUCAUUAUUUAGGAUCAAACAAUGCCCUCCUAAUGAAGCCAAGAAUAGCCAAUGUGAUCCCUUAAAGCGGGGUGUGAGUUUUCCUUACACCUUGGGGCAUCGAAUCCACUGAAACCAUUAGGCAGCGGGCUGCCCAUAACGGCCGGGAUAACUUUGCGUCAAGGACAGUUAAUAGAUGCCAGAGCACAGACCAAAGUGCUCCAAGCAUGUCAGUCAAGACUAACCGGAGGCAAAAACAUCAAAAUGCAGGUUGGAGUUUUGACAUUCCUGCAGGCUCUGAACGCCUCGCCAGUAAAUUUUUAAAGUCAAUAUCCCCCUUAUGCUCAUGAACACUUUUCUGUCUGAUGAGUAGGACUAAUGUGGCUCUGAUUGAACUGUGACUAAAGUAGGACUUUAAAGACCGCUUUGAAUGUGUGUGGGGCAGAAAGGAUUUUUUUGGUGUGUGUUUUGUGUGUGUGUGUGUUUUCUUUUUCUUCCCCCCUAGAAAUGCCUGUGAUAAUAAUGAAGACAGUGUACACAGAUUAUCACAGGCUGUGUCUUUCGACUUCAAGGUUAUGUGAUUAGAAAAUUAGAAAAGUGACGAGAUUAGAAAAACCGCAGAACAUUUUGAAAGAAAGCUUUUUUACAAAUCAUCUGUGUGCUGGAUUUACACAGAAUCUGACAGAUAGAUCUUCUACUGUUUGGAAAUGGAUAAAUGUAGCAAUGCAAAUAGGAAGAACUGGCUUCAGAGCCCACUCCUGGCACAAGUUCAAAACCCACAUUAAGUACUCUAAUUCGCAUAAAGCCUGUUACGUAUAUAUAUAUAUUUAUAUAUAUAUUUUUAUAUAUAUAUAUAUAUGCUGCAUACACACAUAAGACAAAAUAUAACCACUUUACAAAUAUAAAGGUAAAAAAGCAAAGAGAUUGUUGCUUCUUGCAAUGCAUGACUCUUUAUUUCCAGAUUUGAAAUAAAUCCUUCACCUCUUUGCCCUUUCUCUUCUCAGAUGCUGAGAAUAAUAAUUAGAACAGAUAUUCCAAGCAGGGUCAGAUUUGGAUUUUGGUCGGCAUCCUGUAGUUGACUCAAAGAGUGAACAGCCAUUUGGGGACUCAAGUCACAGCCUUUAAUGAGGGAAAAAAGAAAAUUCCCUUGUAUCAAAAACUGUUGGGUCUAAAGAAAAGUUCCAUCAAAAAAUGAUGAAAGGCGUGGAGGACGUACAGUUCCGGGGUCGGACAGCAACAAGACAGGGUAGAGGCUUGCCUGAGCUUGGGAAACCUUCCCCAGGUCUUUUCUGCACCUAGAAGAUGGAAUAUGACUUUCAUGCCUGGCGAGCGUGAACAUCUAUACCUUAAAGAUACCUUGCAAAGGCACAAGUGAUAUUUGAACCAGGGCGACCUGUACCCUAUUUCAUGGGAACCUUUGAGUAGGUAGCAUCCUGACAUUUUUAGGCUCAACUCAUUGUCACCUGGCUAAAUUCUCCCAGAUAUUAAAAUAUAAAUAGACCAUAAUUACACUUCCGGGUCAGACCUAGAUUUUCCAGACCUAAAGCGGACAUGUCAGUAAGGAUUGGACACGAAAGGCAUCACAUUUAAAGCUUAGAGAUGCCACUGAGCAUGGGAGUUGUCCUUAGUACCUGCUUUUUAAAAUCUGUUACUCAGAACAUUAUCUGAAAUUUUGAGGCUAUUUUGAGAUUUCAUUUAUGUAAAUAAACUCUAAUAAUGGAUCACACGAGUGUUCUGUCUGCUCGGAAGUUUAUCGAAUCACCUUUGAGGAGAGGAGCUGUGUGUUUCACUCAUUCGUUCAACCACUACUUGCUGAGCACCUACUGUGGCCAUGGGGCUGUUUUAAAUCAUUGAGAUGGAUCUGCGGAUAAGACACCCUUACGCAGGCAGCUUUCGUUUCUGGCAGGGAAGACAAGACACCAAUAAAAAUAAAGUUAACCAUGCAGAGUGCUAGAAGGUGAUAAUUAUAUGGAAAAAAUAUUAGCACGGGAUGAGAGAUGCCAUGUGAGGAGCAUGGCUGGAUGGCCCUGAGAAGGUGAUCCUGAGCGCAUCCUGCAGGACCAGUCUCAGGCAACCACGCAGAUAUGUGGAAAAGGCCCCUGGGGGACAGGAGCAGCCAGUGAGGAUGCUGGAGCAAGCACACCUGGAGAGAUUUCAGAACAGGAAGAAGGCCCAGGAGGCUGGGGAGGUGUGGCAGUGAACGGGAGCUAUGUGGGCCGCUGAUGGACUUGGGAGGAGAGAGAGAAGAUAAGGCUUUAUCUCUCUUGUAUCCCCAGCAUCUCCCUCUGGCACUGGUACCUGGCAAAUUCUCAGUGAUUUGUUUUCCCAGUGAAUGAAUGGGUGAACGACAUGAAUAGAAGAAAUGCCCAAGGUUGGCAGGUCCUCUGGCCUCACUCUCCUCCUGCGUUUGGCAAGCUCCACCACCAUAUUUUCUGGCUGCAUUCUUUGGAACAUUAGUUCCUGAUAUUCCAGGAGAAAGGUGCCAAGGUCAGAUAAGUUCAUUCGGUAGAUCCCUUAGUGUAGGUUCACAAAUCACCAUUAGUAUGCAAAAGUCUCAGAAAAAUUCUCCAGGGAAUGACAUGUUCUAACAGCAUUUGGAGAACUUAUUCAACCAUAGAACCCAUUUCUUCAUCCCGUUCAUUUUUCCUGAUCCUUCUGCUACUCCUCAGUCAGGAUUCUGUAGGACCUGUGUUGGGAAAUGAUGACCCAUGUGAAGUUAGAAGCCCCCCAAAAGACAACGCACCCACACUCCGCCAUCCCGCCUCCAUUUCUGCAUUUCUGGACCACUCUGAAGCUCAGACUCACUCUCCCUCCACUAUUGAGUGGAGUGAAAUCUACUGCCUUGGAAUUUCUGUCUCUUGACCCAAGCUUCACUCAUGGGACUGUAUGGAUUGCUCUUAGGUGUGGAAGUGUUAGUAGCUACAAAGGAACUUCUAGGGACAGUCACCUCCGCUUGAGGAGGCUGUGGGGAGCUGCUCUUCCUUUAAAUGACUGUUACAGCUGAGGCAUAAAGAUGGAAGGUUCGAGCCCAGCCUGGGCAACUUGGUGAGACCUUAUCUCAAAAUAAAAAAUAAAACGAAUUGGAGAUGUAGCUUAGUAGUAGAGCAACCAGGGAUCAAUUUCCAUGACCACAAACAAACGCUCCUUUAAGAUUUCAAGUUGUGUUUUCAGGUUUCCCAUAAGGUCCUCCAGUGGAACUGAUAAGGAACCAGCCAAAGUCACUGAGUCACUCUGAGUCACUCUUCUUAGGUGACCAGAAUAAACAUUAGAUUCCCCACCACGAGUAUUCUGUCCAACAUUGUUUUUGAACAUGCGAUGUAAGACUUCAAAUUGAGCAUGCCCGACAAGGUGCUCACCUUUACAUCUGAUGUAUGAGUCUCCCCAAUAAAAGCUCUUGCUUUCUUUCUUCCA
Molecule: long non-coding RNA, 14358 nt
Organism: Heterocephalus glaber (naked mole-rat)
Lineage: Eukaryota; Metazoa; Chordata; Mammalia; Rodentia; Bathyergidae
Source: RefSeq, a predicted model, not a curated record